RNAcentral lists this long non-coding RNA (916 nucleotides) under Phoenix dactylifera (date palm). RNAcentral describes it as "long non-coding RNA (PDAC_LNC017081)". Lineage: Eukaryota; Viridiplantae; Streptophyta; Magnoliopsida; Arecales; Arecaceae. The record is from RNAcentral.
UCAGGCCCGAUCACACUCCAUAGGCCGCCAACACUUCUCUCCGCUGCGGGCCAAAGCCCAUUUUACUCCUUGAGCGCGGCCCAGGCCCAAGCGGCCACAGGCCCUAUCUCAGGCCUGAUCCAGCACCUUCGUCAGUCCAUUCCAGGAGCCCAAGAACCCUUUUGGCUGCAGAUCCGGAUCCACAGUUCCAGCUAGCUCUGCCCGGCGCCAACUUCGUGUUCGAGACUCCACAACGGACGCUUCCGGUUGACUGCAUCCGCCACAGGUGAUAGGUUUCCACUUUUUCUUGAGCUUGUUCAUUUAAUUAUGUUCUAGUUCUCUUGCAUGAUAGCCACGUUCUGAAAACUUACUUUUGUUGUCAAAAUUUAGCCCCUACUUUCAAACCCAUCCUAUUCGCCUUUGAAAAUCUAGAUAUUAAAUUAGCACACCCUAGCAUCUGGACAUUUCUCGGCAUUCUUCGAUCAGAUUACUUUAGGAUCAGAACAACUGUACUACUUGAUUGCAAUCUAAUUUCUUAAAUUGAAUAAUCUUAAUCCUUAAUUCUGAAUAACCGAAGUAAAAAAUCAGCAACAUUUAAAUUUUAAGUUAUUAUUGUGAAGACUUGCUGAUUUCUGAAAUCAUAAUAGAUUGCAUUAGUAGGUUGUCCUGCAUCAAAUUUGAUCUUGCUUCAUAUUUAUUAGGGUUUCAUUAGUGACACUGCAUGUCACAUCUUCACCCAGUGUCAUCAUUGCAUGCCAACCUGUAGUGAUAUGGAUUACUAUUUCAAUCAACCUAAAACCCCUGUAGCUACCAUGGAUUCCGACAUUUUGAGGUCUGUCUUAGAACAGAUCGUUGCCAUACGGGCUGGAUACAAAGAAUUCAGACAAGAGAUCCGUGAGCUCGUGCAACAUUCUAGGACCCCUAAAUCGCCAACCUC